Molecule: non-coding RNA, 73 nt
Filed under: uncultured Devosia sp.
Lineage: Bacteria; Pseudomonadati; Pseudomonadota; Alphaproteobacteria; Hyphomicrobiales; Devosiaceae
Description: Glycine riboswitch
Rfam family: Glycine riboswitch aptamer
About the family: This family represents the bacterial glycine riboswitch. Glycine riboswitches usually consist of two metabolite-binding aptamers domains with similar structures in tandem. The aptamers cooperatively bind glycine to regulate the expression of downstream genes.
Source: RNAcentral
CUGCGGGAGAGACUGGCUUUGCCAGCGCCGAAGGAGCAACCGCCCCGGAAACUCUCAGGCCAAAGGACCGCAG